GAAGCGACCUCAGCUC
Molecule: ribosomal RNA, 16 nt
Filed under: Macrolobium suaveolens
Lineage: Eukaryota; Viridiplantae; Streptophyta; Magnoliopsida; Fabales; Fabaceae
Description: partial 26S ribosomal RNA
Source: RNAcentral